Molecule: ribosomal RNA, 400 nt
Filed under: uncultured picoeukaryote
Lineage: Eukaryota
Description: bacterial SSU rRNA
Rfam family: Eukaryotic small subunit ribosomal RNA
Source: RNAcentral
ACAUAUGAUAACCGUAGUAUUCUUCAGCUAAUACAUGCUGUAAGCCUGCCUUUAUGGAAAGGUUGUAUUUAUUAUAUCCCAAACCAAUAGUUUCUACUAGUGUGACGAGUCAUAAUAACUGGUCGGAUCGGACAUUGCUCGAUGGAUCCUUCACGUUUCUGCCCUAUCUCCUUUCCAAGAUAUUGUAUUGAACUAUCUUGGCAAUUACGGGUAACUGGGAAUUAAGGUUCGAUUCCGGAGAGGGAGCCUGAAAAACGGCUACCACUUCUAAGGAAGGCACCAGGCGCGUAAAUUACCCAAUCCUGAUUCAAGGAGGUAGUGACAAGAAAUAUUAACAAAAGGGCUUUGCCUUAUCUGAUUAACAUGAGGACAAUCUAAUAAACCUUACCGAGGAACAAUU